This 305-nucleotide ribosomal RNA is filed under the name uncultured bacterium. RNAcentral's name for it is "bacterial SSU rRNA". It matches the Rfam family "Bacterial small subunit ribosomal RNA", at positions 335 to 637 of the family's 1533-position model. The record is from RNAcentral.
CUCCCUACGGGGGGCAGCAGUGAGGAAUAUUGGUCAAUGGGCGGAAGCCUGAACCAGCCAAGUCGCGUGAGGGAAUAAGGCCCUACGGGUCGUAAACCUCUUUUGCCGGGGAGCAAGGGCGGGGACGUGUCCCGGCCCGGAGAGUACCCGGAGAAAAAGCAUCGGCUAACUCCGUGCCAGCAGCCGCGGUAAUACGGAGGAUGCGAGCGUUAUCCGGAUUUAUUGGGUUUAAAGGGUGCGUAGGCGGGCUUUUAAGUAAGCGGUAAAAAUUCGGGGCGCAACCCCGGCCGGCCGUUGAAACUGGG